AUUCAGUUGAGCCUUCAUUCGCAUAUUAGCACUCUCGAUCAUCUUCUUCUCCAAAUGAACUUCUCUAUCAGCUUUCUCUCACAACCUUAGCUCACUCUGACUCACCCUAUCCUCACCCGACAGACUAAACCCAACCCUAACCUCUGCUUCACACCCAACGACGACGGUGGCCCUCGAGAGGUUCCGUAAUAUGCGCCUCACUAUGGAAAAGUGGGUGCAGGGAACUUCAGAAGCUCAUUCUAUGGAAACCUAAUGUGUACUCAUCAAUUUGCAGCAGGAAAAAAUAUUCAGUUAUGGAAACUCUGUUGUGGUGGCCUCAGUGGUUAAAAACUUCACCCUCUUAUAGUUGAAACAUCAUUGUAUUUUAUGAAUCUUGGGCGUGCUUUAGUUUGUUAAUUAUAAAAUAUUUUAAUCGGCUGUGCUAUGUAUUAUUUUGUAUACUUAUGGCCUAUUUUGGGAGAUAUAGUUAAUUUUUCACAGCAACUUUUUUGGUGUUCAUUUCAUGUUUGGCAACUUGGAAGGAAGAAGACCAACACCAGUGAGACUCAUUUGAACUCAGGUAGCGGGAUUAACCACUCUGGGUUAAAAAGGCAUCAGGAAGUUCUUUCAGUAGUAUUUCUGCCAUGAAAUUUAGCUUAUUUCUCGGAUGAGGUGUGAGCUUAAAACUGAGGAAGGAGCGGAAAAAGCCGACUAGAUCCAAUGAUAGUCAUCAGGAUGGCCAAUCUUCCAAAAGAUGCGGCUUGGCUUCUACCUCCCGUUGCAAAUAUUCUCUUCAAAGAAGGCGUUACUCCAGCUACGGCCAGAUACAAUUGUUCCAGACAAUGACUUGAAAGUAGGUGAUGUUUGUGCCUUUGUUAUGACAAAGAACAUUGGAAUAAUCUUAUUCGAAGUGAUUAUUUUUCAUAACAAUGGAGUAGCAAACUCCCCUAUGGCUAUGCUAUCAGUUCCAGGUAAAGAAGAACUCUGUUCUGUAGUAAUAUACUGUCUUGAUCAUUCCCUACUUCACCCUAAACAUCACAUAUAACAAUCUAGGUGAGAAUUAUUAUAAUGCUCCUAGACAAUAUAAUUGAAUGCAAACAUGGCUACAAAGUUGACUUAUACUACUGUUGUUUUCAGCUGCAAAUAAGAGAAGUUCAACUACACCAUCCAAGCCAAAGAUAACCCCUUGUGCGAAAAUUGAACCAUCUUUUACUAGUGAUUAUGAUAAAGCCAGCAUGAUUUCAGAGGACCUAAUUGCACAGAAAAUAAUAGAUGAACCUUCAGUUAACUAGUCUGAUAAAGUGUGUGGAGAAUCUCUUGUACAUAAAAAAUUUAUAAGAAAUCAGGAGUUGAGUAGAAAAGGAAAGGCUGAAGCUUUCCAAAGAGCUAAAGAUUUUAAAUCUGAAGACCCCUUUUUUAUUGUUCCCAUGCAACCAUCAUUUGUUGGAUCCAAAUCUAAGUAUUGUAUUGUAAUUAAUAAGUUUCUCAAUUACAAGUCUAUCUCUUCAAAUAUGUUUCUCAUAUUGAUUUUACUUUGUUUUCAUCUUAUGUCUAGGGUGUGCCAUCUCCCUUUGCAAAAAAGUACCUUUUCGGGAUCAGUAGUACACCUCAACAUGUGAUCCUUACGGUUAAGGAUGUGAUUUUACUUCAAUGCAUAUGUUUAAUUUAUUGAUUUUACAGAUGCUCAGAGGAUACUUUAAGAGUUUGAGGGGUGUGUGCUUCUAGCUUCUGAGUUUGGAGCCAGAUUAGGAUAGAGGCUUCACAUUCUUUUUUAUGUUUGUUUGCCUAACUUAGUGUUAGUUUUUUUUUUUUUGUUCAUUUAGUUGGGUUUGUAUUGGGGUAACUUUUUUCUGUUUUUCAUGUUGGCAACUCUGAUUCAUUGAGUUUAUUGUUGUAGUUCAUAGACAAUACAAUUCAAGCAAGGAUUAUGUAAUUGAAUUUUUUAUGAUUGCCAUUGUAAUUUUUAUGUAUUGAAUAAAUGUGUUCAAUAUUAUUUAAAUAUAGCUUUUUGAAUAAUUUUUUUUUUAUUAUAUAAUUUAAAUAAAUAUAUUUAAAAUUAAAAAAAAUAAUAAUUAGUUUUUAUGACUAAAUAUUAGUCACUGAAUAAUUAAUUUAUGUAAUUCUUUAUUUAUUAUUGCCAACUAAAUUAUUUAGUCACAAAAUAUUAGCUUUUUCGUGACUAAAUUUUAGUUGUUAAAGUUUACUUUUUUGGUUGUUGAAAGUGCAUAUUGGUAUUUAUGUGAUCAAUACAUCAAUCUUACUGUGACUAACUUUAAUAUAUUUUGUAACUAAAUUUUAGUCAUAGAAAAUAACAUUAUUUGUGACUAAAUAUAUUAGUCACUAAAUCUCUUCUACGACCGACAUUCAGCGACUAAAUGGUGACUAAAAAUAAUUAGUCACAAAAAAUUUUGGGUGACUAAUUAAUGAGUUUUAAUGACCAAAAAACUAGUCGGGGAAAAUGGGUUUUUUUGUAGUGAAAGUCUAAAAAAGAUUGUCUUCAUUGUUUAUAAAUUAGUUUUGGAUAUAUUUUCUUUUUCUUUGUUUAAUUUAUCUUAACAAUAAAUAGUUUAUUUUUUAUUUUUAAUUUCUUUGCUGAAACUUCUUGAGAAACCAUAUCCAUUUAUAAUAUAUGUUCUUUUAUGCAUGCAUUUUGUUGAUAUUAUGAAGUAAUGCUCUGGUAUGUAUAGUUAUUUUAUGAGAGAAGCACAUCCACUCUAUAGUUUAUGGUCUUGUUAAAAGUUGAUGAACUCAGGUAUAAAUCUGUGUAUUAUGGGUUUGAAUGGCAGUACGGUGGUUUAAAUCUGUAUAUAUGUUAAUUGCAUAAUUCUUAGUAAUAUGGUGGUGAUGGUGCAGUGGUUUCAUUUUUUUCGCUUCGUUUCAUAACUGAAGCAAAAAAUCAAUUAGUGUCGGUAUGGAACAAGAUGCCAGGACACAUUUUUGAUGCUAUUAAAUAGUGAGGGAGUUUAAUGAAUUUUUUUAAUCUUGUAGGUAUGGAACAAUGCGUGACAAUGUCAUUAGUCUUAAGGUAGUUCUUGCCAAUGAAGAUGUCAAGACAGCAUCUCUUGCAUGAAAGAGUGCUGCAGGUUGUUGACUUUGAGAAUAAAAAUACAACAUGGUUGUGGACUUGUGGUGCUUAGAGAUCAUCUUUCAAAGUGACUCCCAAUAAGCAGUUCAAGCAAUAUUGGCAUCACAGAUCAUGCCUACAUAUCCAGCUCCUCAGAGAAUGUUUUAAGAGUUUGAGGGGCAGGUGCCUUCACUUUUUUUUUUUUUGUUUGCUUAUUGCAUUGCUAGUUUCUUUGUUGUUCAUUUAAUUUGGUUUGUACUGGGUAGCUUAUUUUAUUUUUUUUGUUGGUAACUCUGAUUCAUUCAGUUUUUUGUUUUACUGUUUAUGGACAAUGUAAUUCAAGAAUUAUAUUGUAAUUGAAAUUUUUAUAAUUGACAUUGUAAUUUUUUAUGUAAUGAAUAAAUGUGUAUAAUGUUAUUUAAAAAUAGCUUUGAAUAAUUUGUUUUUAAUAUAUACUUUAAAUGAAUAUACUCUAAAUUUUUUUAAAAAAAUUAUAAAUUAGUUUUUAUGACUAAAUAUUAGUCACUGAAUAAUUAAUUUACG
This is a long non-coding RNA of Cannabis sativa, 3586 nucleotides long. RefSeq lists it as uncharacterized. The transcript is spliced from 7 exons. Lineage: Eukaryota; Viridiplantae; Streptophyta; Magnoliopsida; Rosales; Cannabaceae. The record is from RefSeq and is a predicted model, not a curated record.